UACGUAGGGCGCAAGCGUUGUCCGGAAUUAUUGGGCGUAAAGAGCUCGUAGGUGGCUUGUCACGUCUGCCCGUGAAAGCCCAUGGCUUAACUGUGGGGUCUGCGGUGGAUACGGGCUGGCUAGAGGUAGGUAGGGGGCAAGCGGAAUUCCUGGUGUAGCGGUGAAAUGCGCAGAUAUCAGGAGGAACACCGGUGGCGAAGGCGGGGUCUCUGGGCCGAUACUGACACUGAGAAGCGAAAGCGUGGGGAGCGAACAGG
RNAcentral lists this ribosomal RNA (257 nucleotides) under uncultured bacterium. RNAcentral's name for it is "partial 16S ribosomal RNA". It matches the Rfam family "Bacterial small subunit ribosomal RNA", at positions 524 to 776 of the family's 1533-position model. The record is from RNAcentral.